Arachis ipaensis is the source of this 2445-nucleotide long non-coding RNA. RefSeq lists it as uncharacterized. Lineage: Eukaryota; Viridiplantae; Streptophyta; Magnoliopsida; Fabales; Fabaceae. The record is from RefSeq and is a predicted model, not a curated record.
UUCGAGUCUUCUCAUACUUAUAAGAAUCUUCAACCAAUCAGAUUGAAAUGUAACUUCCACGUUCAUUAGCCUUUAAACAACUGUUCCCGCUCCUUUUGUCUAACACAAAUAACUGCUAGAAAUAACCUUCGACACUUGAACUCUUCGAUUCACGACAACAAAAGCGGAAGAUAGCGGCAGAUUAUUAGUGUCUGUUUUGAUAGCCGCUAUAAUUUUCUAAUUUAACGGCGAUUCUGGCUGCGGUUUUAAGAAGAGCAGUUGUAUGAUGUGAUUUGCAGUGAUUUUGACAACCCACCGCUAACCUGGCUUUUUUAAUCCAUCAAGGUUCGGGCUCAACUUGCCCUCUUUCUGUUUCAUUCAAUGUCGCCGCCAGAUUUUCACCAUCACCGUCCAUCACUGGUUAUGCUCUUUCUUCCUUUCUUUGUUUGUUUGGGUAUUCGCUUUCUUAUUUUGUCUUCUUUUUUCUCCUAGGUCAUUGAUUUUAUUUUUUUCAUUGCUGGAGCAGUAAAACGAGGUGAAUUCUUGAAAUUUGUCUAAUUAUACUAACUAAUUGUGUUGUUGCAAGUCCAAUUUUUAUUUUGGCUAAUUGAUUUUUGUCUAAUUUUACUAUGAAAUCCAUUGCUCCAUGAGCCCCCCAAAUCUUGUUAACCCUAACCCUUACUCCAUGAGCUUUGAUUGGCGCUGCUUCUGCUGGUCCUGACCCCGAAGCAGUGCUCCCCUGCUUCCUUUCUUUUGCCAAAUCUGCUCUAUCCGUGGUUCAAAUUUGCUGCAGCUGUACGAGUUUCUUGCCACAGUCGCCUCCGGCCUCUGUUGCCACCACCACCAUCUCAGGUUCUUCUCUUUCUUCUUUUUAUUUCAUUACUGGGGUUUCGUUUUCUUAUUUACCUUUUUAUUUGGAUUCUUGGAUUUGUCAAUUGAUUGAACACCGAAAGUUAUAUUUUAAUUAACAACUUAAAGCAAUCAAAGGUGACUUGAGGAGUAAUUUUUUUCUCCAUAUUUUAUAUCAAUAGAUUAUAUAUAUUGAAUUUGUCAGUUGAUUUGAAUGCUAAUUUUGAUGAGUUAGAUAAAGAUGAUGAAGUCCUUGUUUUUUUAUAUGAGAUUUUGGGUGCUAAAUACUUAUUUUUUUAAUCUCUAUUAAACAUGCGGCAUUUACACGGUCCAAGAGCCGUGAUUAUGUUCCUUAUGCGAAUGCCCCUUACAAGAGCUUAACAGUGGAAAAGGCUGUGCAAAACUGGAUACAAUAUGAAGGAAAUGGUUUCAGGUUUUCUGGUGGAGGCACACAGUUUCCCUAAGGAGCUGAUGCUUAUAAUUGAUGAAUUAGCAUCUGUUAUUCCACUGGACAAUGGCAUGGUUGCUAAUUGGAAGGAAUACCUGUUUAAGAAAAAUGUUGUUACAAUGUUAAUUGCCCAAAGGACUCUCAUGAAGCACAAGUGAAAUUUGCUUUAGAAAGAGGUGUUCCGGCUAUCAUUGGCAUUCUUGGAACCAUCAUGUGUGCUACUAACUCUGAAUAAUUCCAUGAUAGAGAUAUCUGUAUUUUUUUAGUGUAACUUUUUGUUUCCAUCAUGAGUCUGCCUUUGAUGGUUCAUGUAAUAAGUACCAUGCUAUUAGAGGUUCUAUUCGUUUGGUGUUUUAUGGUUCUCAACUAAACUGUGUUUUGCUUUCUUAGGGAUUUAUCCUCCUGUAAAUGAGAUAGUUAAACAAUACGAAAAAUUUCUUUUGCUUGAACGGCUGUUGGAAAGGUUAUUUGCAAGGAAACACAGAGUUUUGAUAUUCAAUCAGUGGACCAAAGUGUUAGACAUACUGGAUUACUAUUUGAGUUAGAAAGGAUUUGAAGUUUGUGAAAUUUAUGGUAAUGUUAGACAUACUGCAUUAGCAUGAGCCGUUAAUUUGAAUUUAUUUGUUGCUCUUGUUAUAAGUUUUAUAUACUUCUUUAUAUUUUUAAUCCAAGUUGGACAAUUUAUUGAUAUUAAUUUAUAGCAUGGUUGUCUGCAAAUUUUAUUCUAAGUUGUACUCACAUGCUGAUCAUAUAAUGGAAACCAUCCAGCGGCAUUUCAAGAAUGAAGAAGUUCAGGUGAGUCUUCAUUGCUUGAGUGAGAUGUAGACUGUAUAUAAUGUUAAUCUUCAAAAACAUGUCAUAGCUUGGCAAACGCCUGAUAAGUAUGAGGAAUCAUGUGGAAGGCUUUGGCUUGAGAAGGCUGUGGCUACCGUGAGUAUGGCUUUUUUGUUCUAUUUUUUAUUUAUUUAUUAUUUUUGUUUUAUUGAAUUCUUGUAGUCAAUUAUGUUUUAUUGCACUUAAGAGUUGCACUUUCUUGGUAUUCUUUUACUAUGUUUGGUUUUCCUUCCAUUGUUAUUCGUGAGACAUUUUCACUUAGGAUUCUAAUGAGAUAAUGAUCAAUUUUAUAAUAUUAUUUUCUACUAAUUUAUUAUGCAGUAAUUUAUGGGGAC